GAUUAAGUUAUUAAGGGCGCACGGUGGAUGCCUUGGCACUAGAAGCCGAUGAAGGACGUUACUAACGACGAUAUGCUUUGGGGAGCUGUAAGUAAGCUUUGAUCCAGAGAUUUCCGAAUGGGGAAACCCAGCAUGAGUUAUGUCAUGUUAUCGAUAUGUGAAUACAUAGCAUAUCAGAAGGCACACCCGGAGAACUGAAACAUCUUAGUACCCGGAGGAAGAGAAAGAAAAUUCGAUUCCCUUAGUAGCGGCGAGCGAAACGGGAAGAGCCCAAACCAACAAGCUUGCUUGUUGGGGUUGUAGGACACUCUAUACGGAGUUACAAAGGACGACAUUAGACGAAUCAUCUGGAAAGAUGAAUCAAAGAAGGUAAUAAUCCUGUAGUCGAAAAUGUUGUCUCUCUUGAGUGGAUCCUGAGUACGACGGAGCACGUGAAAUUCCGUCGGAAUCUGGGAGGACCAUCUCCUAAGGCUAAAUACUCUCUAGUGACCGAUAGUGAACCAGUACCGUGAGGGAAAGGUGAAAAGCACCCCGGAAGGGGAGUGAAAUAGAACCUGAAACCGUGUGCUUACAAGUAGUCAGAGCCCGUUAAUGGGUGAUGGCGUGCCUUUUGUAGAAUGAACCGGCGAGUUACGAUUUGAUGCAAGGUUAAGCAGUAAAUGUGGAGCCGUAGCGAAAGCGAGUCUGAAUAGGGCGUUUAGUAUUUGGUCGUAGACCCGAAACCAGGUGAUCUACCCUUGGUCAGGUUGAAGUUCAGGUAACACUGAAUGGAGGACCGAACCGACUUACGUUGAAAAGUGAGCGGAUGAACUGAGGGUAGCGGAGAAAUUCCAAUCGAACCUGGAGAUAGCUGGUUCUCUCCGAAAUAGCUUUAGGGCUAGCCUCAAGUGAUGAUUAUUGGAGGUAGAGCACUGUUUGGACGAGGGGCCCCUCUCGGGUUACCGAAUUCAGACAAACUCCGAAUGCCAAUUAAUUUAACUUGGGAGUCAGAACAUGGGUGAUAAGGUCCGUGUUCGAAAGGGAAACAGCCCAGACCACCAGCUAAGGUCCCAAAAUAUAUGUUAAGUGGAAAAGGAUGUGGCGUUGCCCAGACAACUAGAAUGUUGGCUUAGAAGCAGCCAUCAUUUAAAGAGUGCGUAAUAGCUCACUAGUCGAGUGACACUGCGCCGAAAAUGUACCGGGGCUAAACAUAUUACCGAAGCUGUGGAUUGUCCUUUGGACAAUGGUAGGAGAGCGUUCUAAGGGCGUUGAAGCAUGAUCGUAAGGACAUGUGGAGCGCUUAGAAGUGAGAAUGCCGGUGUGAGUAGCGAAAGACGGGUGAGAAUCCCGUCCACCGAUUGACUAAGGUUUCCAGAGGAAGGCUCGUCCGCUCUGGGUUAGUCGGGUCCUAAGCUGAGGCCGACAGGCGUAGGCGAUGGAUAACAGGUUGAUAUUCCUGUACCACCUAUAAUCGUUUUAAUCGAUGGGGGGACGCAGUAGGAUAGGCGAAGCGUGCGAUUGGAUUGCACGUCUAAGCAGUAAGGCUGAGUAUUAGGCAAAUCCGGUACUCGUUAAGGCUGAGCUGUGAUGGGGAGAAGACAUUGAGUCUUCGAGUCGUUGAUUUCACACUGCCGAGAAAAGCCUCUAGAUAGAAAAUAGGUGCCCGUACCGCAAACCGACACAGGUAGUCAAGAUGAGAAUUCUAAGGUGAGCGAGCGAACUCUCGUUAAGGAACUCGGCAAAAUGACCCCGUAACUUCGGGAGAAGGGGUGCUCUUUAGGGUUAACGCCCAGAAGAGCCGCAGUGAAUAGGCCCAAGCGACUGUUUAUCAAAAACACAGGUCUCUGCUAAACCGUAAGGUGAUGUAUAGGGGCUGACGCCUGCCCGGUGCUGGAAGGUUAAGAGGAGUGGUUAGCUUCUGCGAAGCUACGAAUCGAAGCCCCAGUAAACGGCGGCCGUAACUAUAACGGUCCUAAGGUAGCGAAAUUCCUUGUCGGGUAAGUUCCGACCCGCACGAAAGGCGUAACGAUUUGGGCACUGUCUCAACGAGAGACUCGGUGAAAUCAUAGUACCUGUGAAGAUGCAGGUUACCCGCGACAGGACGGAAAGACCCCGUGGAGCUUUACUGUAGCCUGAUAUUGAAAUUCGGCACAGCUUGUACAGGAUAGGUAGGAGCCUUUGAAACGUGAGCGCUAGCUUACGUGGAGGCGCUGGUGGGAUACUACCCUAGCUGUGUUGGCUUUCUAACCCGCACCACUUAUCGUGGUGGGAGACAGUGUCAGGCGGGCAGUUUGACUGGGGCGGUCGCCUCCUAAAAGGUAACGGAGGCGCUCAAAGGUUCCCUCAGAAUGGUUGGAAAUCAUUCAUAGAGUGUAAAGGCAUAAGGGAGCUUGACUGCGAGACCUACAAGUCGAGCAGGGUCGAAAGACGGACUUAGUGAUCCGGUGGUUCCGCAUGGAAGGGCCAUCGCUCAACGGAUAAAAGCUACCCCGGGGAUAACAGGCUUAUCUCCCCCAAGAGUUCACAUCGACGGGGAGGUUUGGCACCUCGAUGUCGGCUCAUCGCAUCCUGGGGCUGUAGUCGGUCCCAAGGGUUGGGCUGUUCGCCCAUUAAAGCGGUACGCGAGCUGGGUUCAGAACGUCGUGAGACAGUUCGGUCCCUAUCCGUCGUGGGCGUAGGAAAUUUGAGAGGAGCUGUCCUUAGUACGAGAGGACCGGGAUGGACAUACCUCUGGUGUACCAGUUGUCGUGCCAACGGCAUAGCUGGGUAGCUAUGUGUGGACGGGAUAAGUGCUGAAAGCAUCUAAGCAUGAAGCCCCCCUCAAGAUGAGAUUUCCCAACUUCGGUUAUAAGAUCCCUCAAAGAUGAUGAGGUUAAUAGGUUCGAGGUGGAAGCAUGGUGACAUGUGGAGCUGACGAAUACUAAUCGAUCGAAGACUUAAUCAA
RNAcentral lists this ribosomal RNA (2923 nucleotides) under Staphylococcus aureus. Its description in RNAcentral is "23S ribosomal RNA". It matches the Rfam family "Bacterial large subunit ribosomal RNA". Lineage: Bacteria; Bacillati; Bacillota; Bacilli; Caryophanales; Staphylococcaceae. The record is from RNAcentral.